RNAcentral lists this ribosomal RNA (746 nucleotides) under Erysiphe hypogena. RNAcentral's name for it is "eukaryotic LSU rRNA". It matches the Rfam family "Eukaryotic large subunit ribosomal RNA", at positions 1 to 709 of the family's 3401-position model. Lineage: Eukaryota; Fungi; Ascomycota; Leotiomycetes; Helotiales; Erysiphaceae. The record is from RNAcentral.
ACGGUGGCUUGCCAGAACAACCCACUUGCUCCAGUCACAUGGAUCACAGGUUGACCUCGAAUCAGGUAGGAAUACCCGCUGAACUUAAGCAUAUCAAUAAGCGGAGGAAAAGAAACCAACCGGGAUUACCUCAGUAACGGCGAGUGAAGCGGUAACAGCUCAAAUUUGAAAUCUGGCUCCUGCGGAGUCCGAGUUGUAAUUUGUAGAAGAUGCUUUGGGUUGUGGGUUCGGCCUAAGUUCCUUGGAACAGGACGUCAUAGAGGGUGAGAAUCCCGUAUGUGGCCGAGGCCCGCGCCUAUGUAAAGCUCUUUCAACGAGUCGAGUUGUUUGGGAAUGCAGCUCAAAAUGGGUGGUAAAUUUCAUCUAAAGCUAAAUAUGGGCCAGAGACCGAUAGCGCACAAGUAGAGUGAUCGAAAGAUGAAAAGCACUUUGGAAAGAGAGUUAAACAGUACGUGAAAUUGUUGAAAGGGAAGCGCUUGCAACCAGACUUGGGCGCUGCCGAUCACCCCGAGUUCUCUCAGGUGCACUCGACAGCGCGCAGGCCAGCAUCGGUUCGGGUGGCUGGAUAAAGGCCGUAGGAACGUAGCUCCCUCCGGGGAGUGUUAUAGCCUACGGUGCCAUGCAGCCCAGCCGGACCGAGGACCGCGCCUUCGGGCUAGGAUGCUGGCGUAAUGGUUGUAAGCGACCCGUCUUGAAACACGGACCAAGGAGUCUAACAUCUAUGCGAGUGUUUGGGUGGCAAACCC